RNAcentral lists this ribosomal RNA (505 nucleotides) under uncultured bacterium. RNAcentral's name for it is "partial 16S ribosomal RNA". It matches the Rfam family "Bacterial small subunit ribosomal RNA", at positions 28 to 507 of the family's 1533-position model. The record is from RNAcentral.
GACGAACGCUGGCGGCGUGCCUAAUACAUGCAAGUAGAACGCACAGUUUAUACCGUAGCUUGCUACACCAUAGACUGUGAGUUGCGAACGGGUGAGUAACGCGUAGGUAACCUGCCUGGUAGCGGGGGAUAACUAUUGGAUACGAUAGCUAAUACCGCAUAAUAUUAAUUAUUGCAUGAUAAUUAAUUGAAAGGUGCAAUUGCACCACUACCAGAUGGACCUGCGUUGUAUUAGCUAGUAGGUGAGGUAACGGCUCACCUAGGCGACGAUACAUAGCCGACCUGAGAGGGUGAUCGGCCACACUGGGACUGAGACACGGCACAGACUCCUACGGGAGGCAGCAGUAGGGAAUCUUCGGCAAUGGACGAAAGUCUGACCGAGCAACGCCGCGUGAGUGAAGAAGGUUUUCGGAUCGUAAAGCUCUGUUGUAAGAGAAGAACGGGUGUGAGAGUGGAAAGUUCACACUGUGACGGUAUCUUACCAGAAAGGGACGGCUAACUACGUG